GAUAAACGCUGGCGGCGUGCCUAAUACAUGCAAGUCGAGCGAACGGACGAGAAGCUUGCUUCUCUGAUGUUAGCGGCGGACGGGUGAGUAACACGUGGAUAACCUACCUAUAAGACUGGGAUAACUUCGGGAAACCGGAGCUAAUACCGGAUAAUAUUUUGAACCGCAUGGUUCAAAAGUGAAAGACGGUCUUGCUGUCACUUAUAGAUGGAUCCGCGCUGCAUUAGCUAGUUGGUAAGGUAACGGCUUACCAAGGCAACGAUGCAUAGCCGACCUGAGAGGGUGAUCGGCCACACUGGAACUGAGACACGGUCCAGACUCCUACGGGAGGCAGCAGUAGGGAAUCUUCCGCAAUGGGCGAAAGCCUGACGGAGCAACGCCGCGUGAGUGAUGAAGGUCUUCGGAUCGUAAAACUCUGUUAUUAGGGAAGAACAUAUGUGUAAGUAACUGUGCACAUCUUGACGGUACCUAACCAGAAAGCCACGGCUAACUACGUGCCAGCAGCCGCGGUAAUACGUAGGUGGCAAGCGUUAUCCGGAAUUAUUGGGCGUAAAGCGCGCGUAGGCGGUUUUUUAAGUCUGAUGUGAAAGCCCACGGCUCAACCGUGGAGGGUCAUUGGAAACUGGAAAACUUGAGUGCAGAAGAGGAAAGUGGAAUUCCAUGUGUAGCGGUGAAAUGCGCAGAGAUAUGGAGGAACACCAGUGGCGAAGGCGACUUUCUGGUCUGUAACUGACGCUGAUGUGCGAAAGCGUGGGGAUCAAACAGGAUUAGAUACCCUGGUAGUCCACGCCGUAAACGAUGAGUGCUAAGUGUUAGGGGGUUUCCGCCCCUUAGUGCUGCAGCUAACGCAUUAAGCACUCCGCCUGGGGAGUACGACCGCAAGGUUGAAACUCAAAGGAAUUGACGGGGACCCGCACAAGCGGUGGAGCAUGUGGUUUAAUUCGAAGCAACGCGAAGAACCUUACCAAAUCUUGACAUCCUUUGACAACUCUAGAGAUAGAGCCUUCCCCUUCGGGGGACAAAGUGACAGGUGGUGCAUGGUUGUCGUCAGCUCGUGUCGUGAGAUGUUGGGUUAAGUCCCGCAACGAGCGCAACCCUUAAGCUUAGUUGCCAUCAUUAAGUUGGGCACUCUAAGUUGACUGCCGGUGACAAACCGGAGGAAGGUGGGGAUGACGUCAAAUCAUCAUGCCCCUUAUGAUUUGGGCUACACACGUGCUACAAUGGACAAUACAAAGGGCAGCGAAACCGCGAGGUCAAGCAAAUCCCAUAAAGUUGUUCUCAGUUCGGAUUGUAGUCUGCAACUCGACUACAUGAAGCUGGAAUCGCUAGUAAUCGUAGAUCAGCAUGCUACGGUGAAUACGUUCCCGGGUCU
This 1372-nucleotide ribosomal RNA is filed under the name uncultured bacterium. Its description in RNAcentral is "bacterial SSU rRNA". It matches the Rfam family "Bacterial small subunit ribosomal RNA", at positions 28 to 1381 of the family's 1533-position model. The record is from RNAcentral.